This 253-nucleotide ribosomal RNA is filed under the name uncultured bacterium. RNAcentral describes it as "partial 16S ribosomal RNA". It matches the Rfam family "Archaeal small subunit ribosomal RNA", at positions 474 to 727 of the family's 1478-position model. The record is from RNAcentral.
UACCAGCACCCCGAGUGGUCGGGACGUUUAUUGGGCCUAAAGCAUCCGUAGCCGGUUCUACAAGUCUUCCGUUAAAUCCAGCUGCUUAACAGAUGGGCUGCGGAAGGUACUAUGGAGCUAGGAGGCGGGAGAGGCAAGCGGUACUCGAUGGGUAGGGGUAAAAUCCGUUGAUCCAUUGAAGACCACCAGUGGCGAAGGCGGCUUGCCAGAACGCGCUCGACGGUGAGGGAUGAAAGCUGGGGGAGCAAACCGG